This 444-nucleotide ribosomal RNA is filed under the name uncultured bacterium. RNAcentral describes it as "partial 16S ribosomal RNA". It matches the Rfam family "Bacterial small subunit ribosomal RNA", at positions 339 to 795 of the family's 1533-position model. The record is from RNAcentral.
CUACGGGUUGCACCAGUGGGGAAUAUUGCACAAUGGGCGCAAGCCUGAUGCAGCAACGCCGCGUGAGGGAUGAAGGCCUUCGGGUUGUAAACCUCUUUUAGCAGGGAAGAAGCGAAAGUGACGGUACCUGCAGAAAAAGCACCGGCUAACUACGUGCCAGCAGCCGCGGUAAUACGUAGGGUGCAAGCGUUGUCCGGAAUUAUUGGGCGUAAAGAGCUCGUAGGCGGUUUGUCACGUCUGCUGUGAAAAUCCAAGGCUCAACCUUGGACUUGCAGUGGGUACGGGCAGGCUAGAGUGCGGUGGGGGAGAUGGGAAUCCCUGGUGUAGCGGUGGAAUGCGCAGAUAUCAGGAGGAACACCAAUGGCGAAGGCACAUCUCUGGGCCGUAACUGACGCUGAGGAGCGAAAGCGUGGGGAGCGAACAGGAUUAGAUACCCGAGUAGUC